This 253-nucleotide ribosomal RNA is filed under the name uncultured bacterium. RNAcentral describes it as "partial 16S ribosomal RNA". It matches the Rfam family "Bacterial small subunit ribosomal RNA", at positions 524 to 776 of the family's 1533-position model. The record is from RNAcentral.
UACGUAGGCAGCAAGCGUUGUUCGGAGUUACUGGGCGUAAAGGGUGCGUAGGCGGCUUUUUAAGUCUGGUGUGAAAUCUCCCGGCUCAACUGGGAGGGUGCGCCGGAUACUGAGGGGCUAGAGUGUGGGAGAGGAAAGUGGAAUUCCUGGUGUAGCGGUGAAAUGCGUAGAUAUCAGGAGGAACACCGGUGGUGUACACGGCUUUCUGGACCAUAACUGACGCUGAGGCACGAAAGCGUGGGUAGCAAACAGG